RNAcentral lists this ribosomal RNA (468 nucleotides) under uncultured bacterium. RNAcentral describes it as "partial 16S ribosomal RNA". It matches the Rfam family "Bacterial small subunit ribosomal RNA", at positions 28 to 507 of the family's 1533-position model. The record is from RNAcentral.
GACGAACGCUGGCGGCGUGCUUAACACAUGCAAGUCGAACGGAAAGGCCCUGCUUUUGUGGGGUGCUCGAGUGGCGAACGGGUGAGUAACACGUGAGUAACCUGCCCUUGACUUUGGGAUAACUUCAGGAAACUGGGGCUAAUACCGGAUAGGAGCUCCUGCUGCAUGGUGGGGGUUGGAAAGUUUCGGCGGUUGGGGAUGGACUCGCGGCUUAUCAGCUUGUUGGUGGGGUAGUGGCUUACCAAGGCUUUGACGGGUAGCCGGCCUGAGAGGGUGACCGGCCACAUGGGGACUGAGAUACGGCCCAGACUCCUACGGGAGGCAGCAGUGGGGAAUAUUGCACAAUGGGCGGAAGCCUGAUGCAGCAACGCCGCGUGCGGGGUGACGGCCUUCGGGUUGUAAACCGCUUUCGCCUGUGACGAAGCGUGAGUGACGGUAAUGGGUAAAGAAGCACCGGCUAACUACGUG